RNAcentral lists this ribosomal RNA (384 nucleotides) under uncultured prokaryote. Its description in RNAcentral is "bacterial SSU rRNA". It matches the Rfam family "Archaeal small subunit ribosomal RNA", at positions 341 to 725 of the family's 1478-position model. The record is from RNAcentral.
GCGAAAACUUUACAAUGCUGGCAACAGCGAUAAGGGAACCUCGAGUGCCAGGUUACAAAUCUGGCUGUCGAGAUGCCUAAAAAGCAUUUCAUAGCAAGGGCCGGGCAAGACCGGUGCCAGCCGCCGCGGUAACACCGGCGGCUCGAAUGGUAACCGUUAUUAUUGGGUCUAAAGGGUCUGUAGCCGGCCGGAUAAGUCUCUUGAGAAAUCUGGCAGCUUAACUGUCAGGCUUUCAGGAGAUACUGUCUGGCUCGAGGCCGGGAGAGGUGAGAGGUACUUCAGGGGUAGGGGUGAAAUCUUGUAAUCCUUGAAGGACCACCAGUGGCGAAGGCGUCUCACCAGAACGGACCUGACGGCGAGGGACGAAAGCUAGGGGCACGAACC